CCUACGGGAGGCUGCAGUAGGGAAUCUUCCACAAUGGGCGAAAGCCUGAUGGAGCAACGCCGCGUGGGUGAAGAAGGUCUUCGGAUCGUAAAACUCUGUUGUCAGAGAAGAAAGUGCGUGAGAGUAACUGUUCACGUUUCGACGGUAUCUAACCAGAAAGCCACGGCUAACUACGUGCCAGCAGCCGCGGUAAUACGUAGGUGGCAAGCGUUAUCCGGAUUUAUUGGGCGUAAAGGGAACGCAGGCGGUCUUUUAAGUCUGAUGUGAAAGCCUUGGGCUUAACCGGAGUAGUGCAUUGGAAACUGGGAGACUUGAGUGCAGAAGAGGAGAGUGGAACUCCAGGUGUAGCGGUGAAAUGCGUAGAUAUAUGGAGGAACACCAGUGGCGAAAGCGGCUCUCUGGUCUGUAACUGACGCUGACGUUCGAAAGCGUGGGUAGCAAACAGGAUUAGAUACCCUUGUAGUC
RNAcentral lists this ribosomal RNA (465 nucleotides) under uncultured bacterium. RNAcentral describes it as "partial 16S ribosomal RNA". It matches the Rfam family "Bacterial small subunit ribosomal RNA", at positions 338 to 795 of the family's 1533-position model. The record is from RNAcentral.